Long non-coding RNA from Carica papaya (papaya), 396 nucleotides. RefSeq lists it as uncharacterized. Lineage: Eukaryota; Viridiplantae; Streptophyta; Magnoliopsida; Brassicales; Caricaceae. The record is from RefSeq and is a predicted model, not a curated record.
GGCAAAAUGAACAAUCCCACUCAACCUGUGGUGUUCAAUGUGACUGAGAGCAAGGUUUCUGUGCGCACUGACGGGGGGGACUGAAGUGACUUGGGGCUGGAUGCCGAGUCAAACCAGAGCGCUGCCCCGAUUUUCUGGCAUUCCUUCCGACGGGAAGAUAACCUCCGUUGCGCGUAAAUCUGUACCUUGUUUUCCCUUUCAAAACUUCCGUGGUCGGAGCUGCAUAAACGGUCGGAUCUUCUUCCACACUUUGACCUGUCAUCUGAUGUAGGACGAAGAUGAUGAUGGUAUACGAGCGUCUGCUGGCACUUGACAAAGAGCCUAUACUGAGUAGCUAGCUGCUGCCCUUAUACAAACCUACUCCUGUACGCUUGCAUGCAGAUCGGCCGGGGAGGA